This 1807-nucleotide ribosomal RNA is filed under the name Stradorhynchus sp. WW-2004. RNAcentral's name for it is "SSU rRNA". It matches the Rfam family "Eukaryotic small subunit ribosomal RNA". Lineage: Eukaryota; Metazoa; Platyhelminthes; Rhabdocoela; Polycystididae. The record is from RNAcentral.
CUGGUUUGAUCCUGCCAGUAGUCAUAUGCUUGUCUCAAAGAUUAAGCCAUGCAUGUAUCAGUUCACACCUUCAUAUGGUGAAACCGCGAAUGGCUCAUUAAAUCAGCUAUGGUUCCUUAGAUCUUACUAUCCUUACUUGGAUAACUGUAGUAAUUCUAGAGCUAAUACAUGCCUAAAAGCCCUGACUUUACAGGAAGGGUGGAUUUAUUAGAACAAAACCAACCGGCUUCGGUCGUUGGCUUGAUGACUCUGGAUAACUUUUCUGAUCGCACGGCCUCGCGCCAGCGACGUAUCUUUCAAAUGUCUGCCCUAUCAACUAUCGAUGGUAGGUGAUAUGCCUACCAUGGUUAUGACGGGUAACGGGGAAUCAGGGUUCGAUUCCGGAGAGGGAGCCUUAGAAAUGGCUACCACAUCUAAGGAAGGCAGCAGGCGCGCAAAUUACCCACUCUCAGCUAGAGGAGGUAGUGACGAAAAAUAACGAUGCGGGACUCAUUUGAGGCUCCGCAAUUGGAAUGAGAACAAUUUAAAUCCUUUAACGAGGAACAAUUGGAGGGCAAGUCUGGUGCCAGCAGCCGCGGUAACUCCAGCUCCAAUAGCGUAUAUUAAAGUUGCUGCAGUUAAAAAGCUCGUAGUUGGAUCUCAGGUAUGGAGUUAGUGGUUGGAUUUAUUCCGAACCACUAAUUUCCGCCUAAUCAGCCGCUUGUUAUCUCAUGUGCUCUUAACCGAGUGCAUGGGGUACUCGGCACGUUUACUUUGAAAAAAUAAGAGUGCUCAAAGCAGGCCUUGUGCUUGAAUUGUGUUGCAUGGAAUAAUGAAAUAGGACUUCGGUUCUAUUUUGUUGGUUUUCGGAAUCGAAGUAAUGAUUAAAAGAGACGGACGGGGGCAUCUGUAUGGUGGUGUUAGAGGUGAAAUUCGAUGAUCGCCGCCAGACAAACAACUGCGAAAGCAUUUGCCAAGGAUGUUUUCAUUAAUCAAGAACGAAAGUCAGAGGUUCGAAGACGAUCAGAUACCGUCCUAGUUCUGACCAUAAACGAUGCCAACUGACAAUCAAGGUUGAUUAUUUAUUUUCACCUUGGCAGUCCCUGGGAAACCUUUAAGUGUUUCGGUUCUGGGGGGAGUAUGGUUGCAAAUCCGAAACUUAAAGGAAUUGACGGAAGGGCACCACCAGGUGUGGAGCCUGCGGCUUAAUUUGACUCAACACGGGAAAACUCACCCGGCCCGGACACUGUGAGGAUUGACAGGUUGAUAGCUCUUUCAUGAUUCAGUGGGUGGUGGUGCAUGGCCGUUCUUAGUUGGUGGAGUGAUUUGUCUGGUUAAUUCCGAUAACGAACGAGACUCUAUCCUGCUAAAUAGUCACCACGCAAUAAUUACGUGGAUUGACUUCUUAGAGGGAUUCGCUACACUGACGAUAUCAAUGAGUGUUUUCCUAAAUAGAGAUAUUUGGGAAAUCUUCUGAAUUAUCGUCAUGUCAGGGAUUGGGGCUUGUAACUAUUCCCCAUGAACGAGGAAUACCCAGUAAGCGCAAGUCAUAAGCUUGCGUUGAUUACGUCCCUGCCCUUUGUACACACCGCCCGUCGCUACUACCGAUUGAAUGUUUUAGUGAGGCUUUUGGAUUGGAGUUGAUGAGAAGGUUUACCUACUUGCCGAUUCCGAGAAAAUUGUCAAACUUGAUCAUUUAGAGGAAGUAAAAGUCGUAACAAGGUUGUCCGUAGGUGAACCUGCAGAUGGAUCAAGGUGAACCUGCAGAUGGAUCAAGGUGAACCUGCAGAUGGAUCAAGGUGAACCUGCAGAUGAUCAAGGAGCUCAA